GGGGUGCCAUAUAAUUAGAUCCCAUAAAGAAGAAAGCGAAAGGAAGAACUUAUUUUUCUGCAAAACCUUAGAUCUUGAAACCUUAGAUUUUUUGUAUGUGAUACAAUGAUGUAUGAAAUGUAAGAUAUCUAAUCUAUAUGAUUAAAAUUAUAUUAAUCAUGAAAAAAUAAAUUUUUAAAUCAUAAAAAAUUUUAAAGAUGAUCUAAAAGUAUUA
RNAcentral lists this long non-coding RNA (214 nucleotides) under Elaeis guineensis (African oil palm). Its description in RNAcentral is "long non-coding RNA (EGUI_LNC066744)". The record is from RNAcentral. Lineage: Eukaryota; Viridiplantae; Streptophyta; Magnoliopsida; Arecales; Arecaceae.